CCGGGGGAUAGCCCGGGGAAACCCGGAUUAAUACCCCAUAGUAUACAGAGACUGCAUGGUUUUUAUAUUAAAGAUUCAUCGGUAAGGGAUGGGCAUGCGUAGGAUUAGUUAGUUGGCGGGGUAACGGCCCACCAAGACUGUGAUCCUUAGGGGUUCUGAGAGGAAGGUCCCCCACACUGGCACUGAGAUACGGGCCAGACUCCUACGGGAGGCAGCAGUAGGGAAUAUUGGGCAAUGGGCGGGAGCCUGACCCAGCCAUGCCGCGUGCAGGAAGAAGGCGUUAUGCGUUGUAAACUGCUUUUAUACGGGAAGAAAAGGCCCAUGCGUGGGACAUUGCCGGUACCGUAUGAAUAAGCACCGGCUAACUCCGUGCCAGCAGCCGCGGUAAUACGGAGGGUGCAAGCGUUGUCCGGAUUUAUUGGGUUUAAAGGGUGCGUAGGCGGCCCGUUAAGUCAGCGGUGAAAGUCUGUGGCUCAACCAUAGAAGCGCCGUUGAUACUGAUGGGCUUGAGAA
RNAcentral lists this ribosomal RNA (513 nucleotides) under Aquiflexum sp. RNAcentral's name for it is "bacterial SSU rRNA". It matches the Rfam family "Bacterial small subunit ribosomal RNA", at positions 136 to 648 of the family's 1533-position model. Lineage: Bacteria; Pseudomonadati; Bacteroidota; Cytophagia; Cytophagales; Cyclobacteriaceae. The record is from RNAcentral.